CACACACACACACACACACACACACACACACACACACACACACACGCACACACACGGUCGUUGUGUCUCUGAAUCAACUCAAUACAAACUGACUCUGUGUGUGAAACCGAGGACGUUCCACAACGGUGAUGGAGGUUAACGAUGGCCUCCAGUUAUAUUGGAGAUUUAAGACCAGGUUAACAACUGAUACAGGGUCAGAUAUUUUGACUUUCUCCUAAUGGCCAAGGUUAGGAUGUGGGUAGAGCAAGCUGAUCCUAGAUCUGUGAAUAUGAGUCCCCUAAUGGUUAAGGUUAGGAUGUGGGUAGAGCAAGCUGAUCCUAGAUCUGUGAAUAUGAGCAACGUCUACCCUGACCACUACUACGACUGAGCCCUUUACCCAGCAUGCUUUGUGGUCCUCAUUCAAGAUGGCGGCUCUGUCAAAAGGGCCAAGUUUUGCAGUCCUUGUAAUAAUCUCAUUUCUAUUAUAAACUUCACCUGGUGAACCAGCUCUCCUUACUGCUGUGUGUGUGUGUGUGUGUGUGUGUGUGUGUGUGUGUGUGUGUGUGUGUGUGUGUGUGUGUGUGUGUGUGUGUGUGUGUGUGUGUGUGUGUGUGUGUGUGUGUGUGUGUGUGUGUGUGUGAGGGGGGGUCCUCAGCUUGCUUCCUUCUGAGGAUUUGAUUCAUAAUGACGUCCAGGAUGAGUUGACUGUAACAGUUGAUUCAUAAGGACAUCCAGGAUGAGUUGACUGUAACAGUUGAUUCAUAAUGACGUCCAGGAUGAGUUGACUGUAACAGUUGAUUCAUAAGGACAUCCAGGAUGAGUUGACUGUAACAGUUGAUUCAUAAUGACGUCCAGGAUGAGUUGACUGUAACAGUUGAUUCAUAAUGACGUCCAGGAUGAGUUGACUGUAACAGUUGAUUCAUAAGGACAUCCAGGUUGAGUUGACUGUAACAGUUGAUUCAUAAGGACAUCCAGGAUGAGUUGACUGUAACAGUUGAUUCAUAAGGACAUCCAGGAUGAGUUGACUGUAACAGUUGAUUCAUAAGGACAUCCAGGUUGAGUUGACUGUAACAGUUGAUUCAUAAUGACGUCCAGGUUGAGUUGACUGUAACAGUUGAUUCAUAAGGACGUCCAGGAUGAGUUGACUGUAACAGUUGAUUCAUAAUGACGUCCAGGAUGAGUUGACUGUAACAGUUGAUUCAUAAGGACAUCCAGGAUGAGUUGACUGUAACAGUUGAUUCAUAAGGACAUCCAGGUUGAGUUGACUGUAACAGUUGAUUCAUAAUGACAUCCAGGUUGAGUUGACUGUAACAGUUGAUUCAUAAUGACGUCCAGGAUGAGUUGACUGUAACAGUUGAUUCAUAAUGACAUCCAGGAUGAGUUGACUGUAACAGUUGAUUCAUAAGGACAUCCAGGAUGAGUUGACUGUAACAGUUGAUUCAUAAGGACAUCCAGGAUGAGUUGACUGUAACAGUUGAUUCAUAAGGACAUCCAGGAUGAGUUGACUGUAACAGUUGAUUCAUAAUGACAUCCAGGAUGAGUUGACUGUAACAGUUGAUUCAUAAUGACAUCCAGGAUGAGUUGACUGUAACAGUUGAUUCAUAAGGACAUCCAGGAUGAGUUGACUGUAACAGUUGAUUCAUAAGGACAUCCAGGAUGAGUUGACUGUAACAGUUGAUUCAUAAGGACAUCCAGGAUGAGUUGACUGUAACAGUUGAUUCAUAAGGACAUCCAGGAUGAGUUGACUGUAACAGUUGAUUCAUAAUGACGUCCAGGAUGAGUUGACUGUAACAGUUGAUUCAUAAUGACGUCCAGGAUGAGUUGACUGUAACAGUUGAUUCAUAAGGACAUCCAGGAUGAGUUGACUGUAACAGUUGAUUCAUAAGGACAUCCAGGAUGAGUUGACUGUAACAGUUGAUUCAUAAUGACGUCCAGGUUGAGCUGACUGUAACAGUUGAUUCAUAAGGACAUCCAGGAUGAGUUGACUGUAACAGUUGAUUCAUAAUGACGUCCAGGUUGAGCUGACUGUAACAGUUGAUUCAUAAGGACAUCCAGGAUGAGUUGACUGUAACAGUUGAUUCAUAAGGACAUCCAGGAUGAGUUGACUGUAACAGUUGAUUCAUAAUGACGUCCAGGUUGAGUUGACUGUAACAGUUGAUUCAUAAGGACAUCCAGGUUGAGUUGACUGUAACAGUUGAUUCAUAAGGACAUCCAGGAUGAGUUGACUGUAACAGUUGAUUCAUAAGGACAUCCAGGUUGAGUUGACUGUAACAGUUGAUUCAUAAGGACAUCCAGGAUGAGUUGACUGUAACAGUUGAUUCAUAAGGACAUCCAGGAUGAGCUGACUGUAACAGUUGAUUCAUAAGGACAUCCAGGAUGAGUUGACUGUAACAGUUGAUUCAUAAGGACAUCCAGGAUGAGCUGA
Long non-coding RNA from Oncorhynchus keta (chum salmon), 2404 nucleotides. RefSeq lists it as uncharacterized. NCBI's taxonomy places the organism in Eukaryota, Metazoa, Chordata, Actinopteri, Salmoniformes, Salmonidae. The record is from RefSeq and is a predicted model, not a curated record. The transcript has 3 exons.